This 63-nucleotide transfer RNA is filed under the name Rattus norvegicus (Norway rat). It matches the Rfam family "tRNA", at positions 1 to 62 of the family's 71-position model. From Rfam's summary of the family: Transfer RNA (tRNA) molecules are approximately 80 nucleotides in length. The record is from Rfam by way of RNAcentral. Lineage: Eukaryota; Metazoa; Chordata; Mammalia; Rodentia; Muridae.
GGGGAUUUAGCUCAGUGGUAGAGCGCUUGCCUAGCAAGCACAAGGCCCUGGGUUCAGUCCCUA